RNAcentral lists this ribosomal RNA (332 nucleotides) under uncultured eukaryote. RNAcentral's name for it is "partial 18S ribosomal RNA". It matches the Rfam family "Eukaryotic small subunit ribosomal RNA", at positions 1470 to 1796 of the family's 1831-position model. The record is from RNAcentral.
CCCUUAGAUGUUCUGGGCCGCACGCGCGCUACACUGUUCGACGCAGCGAGUCUUAACCUUGACCGAAAGGUUUGGGUAAUCUUCAGCAAAGUCGAACGUGAUGGGGAUCGAUCAUUGCAAUUAUUGAUCGUGAACGAGGAAUUCCUAGUAAGUGCAAGUCAUCAGCUUGCGCUGAUUACGUCCCUGCCCUUUGUACACACCGCCCGUCGCUACUACCGAUUGAAUGGUUUAGUGAGAUCUCUGGAUUGACGCUGGCUAGGGGGCGACCCUUGGCCAGACUGCUCGAGAGACUGCUCAAACUUGAUCAUUUAGAGGAAGUAAAAGUCGUAACA